GAGUAAAGAUUUCGGUCGCUUUGGGAGGAGCUCGCUUACUAUCAGCUUGUUGGUAGGGUAAUGGCCUACCAAGGCUAUGACGGUUAGGGGGUGUGAGAGCAUGACCCCCAGCAUUGGCACUGAAACACUGGCCAAACACCUACGGGUGGCUGCAGUCGAGAAUCUUCCACAAUGGGGGAAACCCUGAUGGAGCGAUGCUGCGUGCGGGAUGAAGGCCCUCGGGUUGUAAACCGCUUUUGUAGGGGACGAAAUUUUUGACGGUACCCUUUCGAAUAAGAGGUUGCUAACUCUGUGCCAGCAGCAGCGGUAAUACAGAGACCUCAAGCGUUAUCCGGAUUUACUGGGCGUAAAGCGUCUGUAGGGGGUUUAUUAAGUUCCAAGUAAAAUUUCAAGGCUCAACUUUGAAUUCGCUUGGAAAACUAAUAAACUGGAGUCUAGCAGAGGUGCAUGGAACUUGUGGUGUAGGAGUGAAAUCCGUUGAUAUCACAAGGAACACCAAAGGCGAAGGCAUUGCACUGGGCUAGCACUGACCCUGAGAGACGAAAGCGUGGGGAGCAAAACGGAUUAGAUACCCGUGUAGUCCACGCCCUAAACGAUGAAUGCUAAAUGUUCGGGGAUUCGACCCCCUGGGUGUUACAGCUAACGCGUUAAGCAUUCCGCCUGGGAAGUACGGCCGCAAGGCUAAAACUCAAAGGAAUAGACAGGGAUCCGCACAAGCGGUGGAGCGUCUGGUUUAAUUCGACAGUAAGCGUGGUACCUCACCAGGGUUUGACAUCCCUUGACAGCCUUGGAAACAAGGUUUCCUUCGGGCAAGGUGACAGGUGCUGCAUGGUCGUCGUCAGUUCGUGCCGUGAGGUGUUCCGUUAAGUCGGGAAACGAACGAAACCCCUAUUGCAUGUUACAAUUUCUCAUGCAAGACUGCCCGGAUAUACUGGGAGGAAGGUGGGGAUGACGUCAGAUCUGCAUGGUCCUUAUACCCUGGGCGACACAGGCGCUACAAUGGCAGAGACAAAGGGUUGCAAAACCGCAAGGUGAAGCUAAUCCCAAAAACUUUGUCUAAGUUCGGAUUGAAGGCUGCAAUUCGCCUUCAUGAAGCUGGAAUCGCUAGUAAUUGUGAAUCAGCCACGUCACGGUGAAUAUGUUCCCGGAUCUUGUACUCACCGCCCGUCACACCAAGAGAGUUGGUAGC
Molecule: ribosomal RNA, 1189 nt
Filed under: uncultured organism
Description: bacterial SSU rRNA
Rfam family: Bacterial small subunit ribosomal RNA
Source: RNAcentral